AUGAUAAGUCAAGCAACCAGACAAUGCAUAAAAGGUGAAGAGAAAUGGAAGGAUUGCAACUUACCUACGAGAGCAAACUCCGACGGUUCUUUCGAGCGAUGGAGAACCAAGAGAACCUCGAAGACUUCAAAGAAACGCCAGGUAAUAACAAGCACCAUUAAUUCUUGUCUUCUCCUUUUUGCGCACGAUCUUCUUGUUCUACCUGAUCCUUCUACUUCAUCUUUUUUUUCUUCUACUCAAAAUUUGUGUGUUGUUUGUAUUCUGGAAUUUCCGUGUGCUUUUGUUUCUGAAUCUUCUUCUUUUCUCUUUUAG
Vicia faba (fava bean) is the source of this 312-nucleotide non-coding RNA. The record is from the annotation of a GenBank genome assembly. NCBI's taxonomy places the organism in Eukaryota, Viridiplantae, Streptophyta, Magnoliopsida, Fabales, Fabaceae.